GAGGAUAACCGUUGGAAACGAUGGCUAAGACUGGAUAGGAAUAACGGGAGGCAUCUUCUGUAUUUUAAAAGACCUGGCAACAGGUAUGCUUGAGGAGGGGCCUGCGGCGCAUUAGUUAGUUGGUGAGGUGAUGGCUCACCAAGACGAUGAUGCGUAGCCGGACUGAGAGGUUGAACGGCCACAUUGGGACUGAGAGACGGCCCAAACUCCUACGGGAGGCAGCAGUAGGGAAUUUUCGGCAAUGGGGGGAAACCCUGACCGAAGCAACGCCGCGUGAACGACGAAGUACUUCGGUAUGUAAAAGUUCUUUUAAGAGGGAAGAAUGGCCCGUGGAAAAGCGGGCGUGACGGUACCUUUUGAAUAAGCCCCGGCUAACUAUGUGCCAGCCGCCGC
This 393-nucleotide ribosomal RNA is filed under the name uncultured bacterium. Its description in RNAcentral is "bacterial SSU rRNA". It matches the Rfam family "Bacterial small subunit ribosomal RNA", at positions 139 to 518 of the family's 1533-position model. The record is from RNAcentral.